UAUACAUGCAGUCGAACGAACUUUCCUAUUUGAUUGAUGCUUGCAUCAUGAUUUAGAUCUAAGUGAGUGGCGGACGGGUGAGUAACACGUGGGUAACCUGCCCAGAAGUGGGGGAUAACAUUUGGAAACAAGUGCUAAUACCGCAUAACAACAUUAAACACAUGUUUUUUGUUUAAAAGAUGGUUUUGCUAUCUCUUCUGGAUGGACCCGCGGCGUAUUAGCUAGUUGGUGAGGUAAUAGCUCACCAAGGCGAUGAUACGUAGCCGACCUGAGAGGGUAAUCGGCCACAUUGGGACUGAGACACGGCCCAAACUCCUACGGGAGGCAGCAGUAGGGAAUCUUCCACAAUGGACGAAAGUCUGAUGGAGCAAUGCCGCGUGAGUGAAGAAGGUUUUCGGAUCGUAAAACUCUGUUGUUGAAGAAGAACAUAUGUGAGAGUAACUGUUCACGUACUGACGGUAUUCAACCAGAAAGCCACGGCUAACUACGUGCCAGCAGCCGCGGUAAUACGUAGGUGGCAAGCGUUGUCCGGAUUUAUUGGGCGUAAAGAGAAUGUAGGCGGUUCAUUAAGUUUGAAGUGAAAGCCCUCGGCUCAACCGAGGAAGUGCUUCGAAAACUGGUGAACUUGAGUGCAGAAGAGGAAAGUGGAACUCCAUGUGUAGCGGUGGAAUGCGUAGAUAUAUGGAAGAACACCAGUGGCGAAGGCGGCUUUCUGGUCUGUAACUGACGCUGAGAUUCGAAAGCAUGGGUAGCAAACAGGAUUAGAUAC
This 769-nucleotide ribosomal RNA is filed under the name Companilactobacillus alimentarius. RNAcentral describes it as "bacterial SSU rRNA". It matches the Rfam family "Bacterial small subunit ribosomal RNA", at positions 50 to 785 of the family's 1533-position model. Lineage: Bacteria; Bacillati; Bacillota; Bacilli; Lactobacillales; Lactobacillaceae. The record is from RNAcentral.